This 250-nucleotide long non-coding RNA is filed under the name Hordeum vulgare. Its description in RNAcentral is "long non-coding RNA (HVUL_LNC018394)". Lineage: Eukaryota; Viridiplantae; Streptophyta; Magnoliopsida; Poales; Poaceae. The record is from RNAcentral.
AGGCCGCCCGACGUGUUGACAAUCCCGAUAGGAGCCGUGUAUCUCGUUCUCAGGGCACGACCGGAUGGGACUAGCUGCAAGUAAAACCAAUCCUCGAGUUUCCUCACGGUGACCCUGCAGGCAACCCGUUUGGGACCAACACCAUGGGCACAGGCACCCUGUAUUAUGUUGAAUUAAUCCACGAGUAGUGCUAACUCCCUAUGUGUUACUAAUUUUGUUCAGUAUUAUUAUGUUGGGAAAUUAUAGUACC